AAUUCUCCAGCUACUUCGCAGUCUCAUUUGCCAGGCAUUUUUUCUGACAAUCAUCUUCGACAUUAAGUAUGAGCCCUCCAUACUCUUGUACCAAUCUCACUUGCUUGAACCUGUGUACAGAGGUGUGUCAUUCUGAUACCUACAAGGAAGCUGCUCUCAUGGUAGGGAUGCGGAAAUACUUCAUAGCAACUCUGUUUUGCCUGUGAUUUAAACUCCUUCUGAGGCUAUUGGAGACUGUAUGGGAACUGUUGAAUCACGGCCUGAACCUCUGAUUGACCACCUGAGGAGAGCGCUGAGUCAGCCACAGGGGCACAGGUGAACGCAAUUUCACCUCAGUGACUGGAUGGGGUGGAGCCUGGCUCCAGCCCUCCUAGACCCCAUUUAAGGGCUGACUCCCAAUUAGGAAAGACAUCUAUCUGGAGAUCAUUUUUCUUGGAGCCCUUCUGCAAGCCCAGGACACAGGCAAGAGAAGAUUGGAUCCUGAGUGGGCACCAGGCACUGCUAUACUUGCAGACCAAACAUACAUCUACAACUACAUCUUGCUACCCUUCAACUGUAUUUUCUGACUUGCCACAAGGAUUGAACUAUUUUGAAAAGUCAUACUUGGCACAAGAAAGUAGGGCAGAAAUAGGCUCUUGAGAAAUACUAUUCAAAGACCAUCUCAACUCAGCCAAAUUCAUUUGUGGAGUUCAGUGAACGUCAUAUAAUAAUUAUUUGCUGAAC
This 723-nucleotide long non-coding RNA is filed under the name Gallus gallus (chicken). RNAcentral's name for it is "lncRNA (ENSGALG00010009599.1)". Lineage: Eukaryota; Metazoa; Chordata; Aves; Galliformes; Phasianidae. The record is from RNAcentral.